GCCGGUGUGGCGGAAUGGCAGACGCGGCGCACUCAAAAUGCGCUGUUCGAAAGGACGUGUGGGUUCGAGUCCCACCACCGGCA
This 83-nucleotide transfer RNA is filed under the name Gulosibacter macacae. It matches the Rfam family "tRNA". Rfam says of the family: Transfer RNA (tRNA) molecules are approximately 80 nucleotides in length. Their secondary structure includes four short double-helical elements and three loops (D, anti-codon, and T loops). Lineage: Bacteria; Bacillati; Actinomycetota; Actinomycetes; Micrococcales; Microbacteriaceae. The record is from Rfam by way of RNAcentral.